GCCCAGGUGGCGAAAUUGGUAGACGCACCAGCUUGAGGGGCUGGCGACCGCAAGGUUGUGCAGGUUCAAAUCCUGUCCUGGGCA
RNAcentral lists this transfer RNA (84 nucleotides) under Bacteroidota bacterium. RNAcentral's name for it is "Bacteroidetes bacterium tRNA-Leu". It matches the Rfam family "tRNA". From Rfam's summary of the family: Transfer RNA (tRNA) molecules are approximately 80 nucleotides in length. Their secondary structure includes four short double-helical elements and three loops (D, anti-codon, and T loops). Lineage: Bacteria; Pseudomonadati; Bacteroidota. The record is from RNAcentral.